RNAcentral lists this ribosomal RNA (141 nucleotides) under uncultured eukaryote. RNAcentral's name for it is "partial 18S ribosomal RNA". It matches the Rfam family "Eukaryotic small subunit ribosomal RNA", at positions 1299 to 1458 of the family's 1831-position model. The record is from RNAcentral.
UGGUGGAGUGAUUUGUCUGGUUAAUUCCGUUAACGAACGAGACCUCGACCUGCUAACUAGACCGGUGAACUCCUGAGUUCAGUCCGUGUCUUCUUAGAGGGACUAUCGGUGCGUAGCCGAUGGAAGUUCGAGGCAAUAACA